UUGUAUAAAAAAAAUCUAAAAUUGGAGUCCUCCACACAUGCUUGUAAAAUAAAGGAUCAAGGAUAGACCUUGACAAGGUCCAAACCAUAAUGGAGUCCAUGGGGUCAAAGUUAUCUCCUGGAGCUCAGCAGUUGAUGGAUAUGGUUAGGUUUCAGCAGCGGAAUUGUAUUCCCAUUGGAGAGCAGCUUCAGUCGGUGUUGGGCAAUUCUGGAUACAAGCAUAUGAUUGGACUACAAUCCUCAUCUACCUUAGGAAACUUAGACAAGUCAUCCUCCACACCUUUUCCUUUUAGAACUGGAUUGACAUCUGGGAACGUGACUGAAAACUUACAAACUUACAUUGAUAAAAGUACACAACUGCCUGGUGGAGAGAAUUCUACCAAGCUUGAUGAGUGUAAAAUUAUGCCUCAAAACCAUUCCUUUCUUGAAAAUGAUCUUAAAAAUGCAAUGGCCUCUUUCUUACCAAAGAAAGCAAGUGACAACUCAAAUAUACCCAACUCUGAGUUGCUGCCUUUUCUCCAGAAUUUAUGUAGUCAAGUUAAUCAUCUCCAUGUGGGAAAUAAGACCGAGUGUCAGGAAAACAUCACCAAGCAUGGUGAACGCAUUCUUGGUGUUGGAAUGGAAGAGCAACCUAUUUGCUCCUACUUGGAAAAGAUUCUUUCUAAAAAUAUGGAAC
This 675-nucleotide small RNA is filed under the name Pan troglodytes (chimpanzee). Its description in RNAcentral is "processed transcript". Lineage: Eukaryota; Metazoa; Chordata; Mammalia; Primates; Hominidae. The record is from RNAcentral.